This 433-nucleotide ribosomal RNA is filed under the name uncultured bacterium. RNAcentral's name for it is "partial 16S ribosomal RNA". It matches the Rfam family "Bacterial small subunit ribosomal RNA", at positions 29 to 507 of the family's 1533-position model. The record is from RNAcentral.
AGCGAACGCUGGCGGCAGGCCUAACACAUGCAAGUCGAACGAACUCUUCGGAGUUAGUGGCGGACGGGUGAGUAACACGUGGGAACGUGCCUUUUGGUUCGGAAUAACUCAGGGAAACUUGUGCUAAUACCGAAUGUGCCCUUCGGGGGAAAGAUUUAUCGCCAUUAGAGCGGCCCGCGUCUGAUUAGCUAGUUGGUGAGGUAACGGCUCACCAAGGCGACGAUCAGUAGCUGGUCUGAGAGGAUGACCAGCCACACUGGGACUGAGACACGGCCCAGACUCCUACGGGAGGCAGCAGUGGGGAAUCUUGCGCAAUGGGCGAAAGCCUGACGCAGCCAUGCCGCGUGAAUGAUGAAGGUCUUAGGAUUGUAAAAUUCUUUCACCGGGGACGAUAAUGACGGUACCCGGAGAAGAAGCCCCGGCUAUCUUCGUG